Molecule: unclassified non-coding RNA, 132 nt
Filed under: soil metagenome
Description: partial internal transcribed spacer 1
Source: RNAcentral
UCAAAACAGGGCUUCGGCCUCGCUGCACCCUUUCUUUGCGCACCGUACUGUUUCCUCGGCGGGCUUGCCUGCCGGUUGGACAACAUAAAACCUUUUGUAGUUGCAAUCAGCGUCAGAAAACAAUAAUUAUUA